This 486-nucleotide ribosomal RNA is filed under the name uncultured bacterium. Its description in RNAcentral is "bacterial SSU rRNA". It matches the Rfam family "Bacterial small subunit ribosomal RNA", at positions 8 to 509 of the family's 1533-position model. The record is from RNAcentral.
AGAGUUUGAUCCUGGCUCAGGACAAACGCUGGCGGCGUGCCUAACACAUGCAAGUCGAACGGGGUGUGUUCCUUCGGGAGCACACUUAGUGGCGGACGGGUGAGUAACGCGUGAGCAACCUGCCCUUCAGUGGGGGACAACAGCUGGAAACGGCUGCUAAUACCGCAUGACGUAUUCCCGGGGCAUCCCGGGGAUACCAAAGAUUUAUUGCUGAAGGAUGGGCUCGCGUCUGAUUAGAUAGUUGGCGGGGCAACGGCCCACCAAGUCGACGAUCAGUAGCCGGACUGAGAGGUUGAACGGCCACAUUGGGACUGAGAUACGGCCCAGACUCCUACGGGAGGCAGCAGUGGGGAAUAUUGGGCAAUGGGCGAAAGCCUGACCCAGCAACGCCGCGUGAAGGAAGAAGGCCUUCGGGUUGUAAACUUCUUUUAAGAGGGACGAAGGGUUGACGGUACCUCUUGAAUAAGCCACGGCUAACUACGUGCC